AAGGCCCCCCGCGGCUGACGGGCAGGUGGGCAACCACCAGGGAGCGGGGAAGCGCCUAACAUGCCGUCCGUCUGGGCAGUGCCU
This 84-nucleotide non-coding RNA is filed under the name Firmicutes bacterium CAG:94. RNAcentral describes it as "ZMP/ZTP riboswitch aptamer (pfl RNA motif)". It matches the Rfam family "ZMP/ZTP riboswitch aptamer (pfl RNA motif)". From Rfam's summary of the family: Previously known as pfl RNA. ZMP is also known as AICAR. The record is from Rfam by way of RNAcentral. Lineage: Bacteria; Bacillati; Bacillota. RNAcentral also lists the same sequence under 1 other name.